ACCCUUUAAUGGCUGGUGUUCUAACGUGGGCCCGUGAUCCGGGUUGCGGACAGUGUCUGGUGGGUAGUUUGACUGGGGCGGUCUCCUCCUAAAGAGUAACGGAGGAGCACGAAGGUCAGCUAAUCCUGGUCGGACAUCAGGAGGUUAGUGCAAUGGCAUAAGCUGGCUUGACUGCGAGCGUGACGGCGCGAGCAGGUGCGAAAGCAGGUCAUAGUGAUCCGGUGGUUCUGAAUGGAAGGGCCAUCGCUCAACGGAUAAAAGGUACUCCGGGGAUAACAGGCUGAUACCGCCCAAGAGUUCAUAUCGACGGCGGUGUUUGGCACCUCGAUGUCGGCUCAUCACAUCCUGGGGCUGAAGUAGGUCCCAAGGGUAUGGCUGUUCGCCAUUUAAAGUGGUACGCGAGCUGGGUUUAGAACGUCGUGAGACAGUUCGGUCCCUAUCUGCCGUGGGCGCUGGAGAAUUGAGGGGGGCUGCUCCUAGUACGAGAGGACCGGAGUGGACGCAUCACUGGUGUUCGGGUUGUCAUGCCAAUGGCAUUGCCCGGUAGCUAAAUGCGGAAGAGAUAAGUGCUGAAAGCAUCUAAGCACGAAACUUGCCCCGAGAUGAGUUCUCCCUGACCCUUUAAGGGUCCUGAAGGAACGUUGAAGACGACGACGUUGAUAGGCCGGGUGUGUAAGCGCAGCGAUGCGUUGAGCUAACCGGUACUAAUGAACCGUGAGGCUUAACCUUACAACGCCGAAG
This 741-nucleotide ribosomal RNA is filed under the name Klebsiella oxytoca. Its description in RNAcentral is "partial 23S ribosomal RNA". It matches the Rfam family "Bacterial large subunit ribosomal RNA", at positions 2202 to 2925 of the family's 2925-position model. Lineage: Bacteria; Pseudomonadati; Pseudomonadota; Gammaproteobacteria; Enterobacterales; Enterobacteriaceae. The record is from RNAcentral.